ACGGGGCGCAGCAGGCGCGGUAAUACGUAGGGUGCAAGCGUKGUCCGGAAUUAUUGGGCGUAAAGAGCUCGUAGGCGGUCUGUCGCGUCUGCUGUGAAAACCCGAGGCUCAACCUCGGGCUUGCAGUGGGUACGGGCAGACUAGAGUGCGGUAGGGGAGAUUGGAAUUCCUGGUGUAGCGGUGGAAUGCGCAGAUAUCAGGAGGAACACCGAUGGCGAAGGCAGAUCUCUGGGCCGUAACUGACGCUGAGGAGCGAAAGCGUGGGGAGCAAACAGGCUUAGAUACCCUGGUAGUCCACGCCGUAAACGUUGGGAACUAGAUGUGGGGACCAUUCCACGGUCUCCGUGUCGUAGCUAACGCAUUAAGUUCCCCGCCUGGGGAGUACGGCCGCAAGGCUAAAACUCAAAGGAAUUGACGGGGGCCCGCACAAGCGGCGGAGCAUGCGGAUUAAUUCGAUGCAACGCGAAGAACCUUACCAAGGCUUGACAUAUACGAGAACGCGCUGGAGACAGCGAACUCUUUGGACACUCGUAUACAGGUGGUGCAUGGUUGUCGUCAGCUCGUGUCGUGAGAUGUUGGGUUAAGUCCCGCAACGAGCGCAACCCUCGUCCUAUGUUGCCAGCACGUCAUGGUGGGAACUCAUGGGAUACUGCCGGGGUCAACUCGGAGGAAGGUGGGGAUGAGGUCAAAUCAUCAUGCCCCUUAUGUCUUGGGCUUCACGCAUGCUACAAUGGCCGGUACAAUGGGCUGCGAUACCGCAAGGUGGAGCGAAUCCCAAAAAGCCGGUCUCAGUUCGGAUUGAGGUCUGCAACUCGACCUCAUGAAGUCGGAGUCGCUAGUAAUCGCAGAUCAGCAACGCUGCGGUGAAUACGUUCCCGGGCCUUGUACACACCGCCCGUCAAGUCAUGAAAGUCGGUAACACCCGAAGCCGGUGGCCUAACCUUUUGGAGGGAGCCGUCGAAGGUGGGAUCGGUGAUUAGGACUAAGUCGUAACAAGGUAAC
This 1002-nucleotide ribosomal RNA is filed under the name uncultured bacterium. Its description in RNAcentral is "bacterial SSU rRNA". It matches the Rfam family "Bacterial small subunit ribosomal RNA", at positions 503 to 1500 of the family's 1533-position model. The record is from RNAcentral.